Molecule: ribosomal RNA, 343 nt
Filed under: Acanthamoeba lenticulata
Lineage: Eukaryota; Discosea; Longamoebia; Acanthamoebidae
Description: SSU rRNA
Rfam family: Eukaryotic small subunit ribosomal RNA
Source: RNAcentral
UGGGGAUAAUGGAAUAGGACCCUGACCUCCUAUUUUCAGUUGGUUUUGUUUACAGCGAGGUUAUAUCAGGGUAAUGAUUAAUAGGGAUAGUUGGGGGCAUUAAUAUUUAAUUGUCAGAGGUGAAAUUCUUGGAUUUAUGAAAGAUUAACUUCUGCGAAAGCGUUUGCCAAGGAUGUUUUCAUUAAUCAAGAACGAAAGUUAGGGGAUCGAAGACGAUCAGAUACCGUCGUAGUCUUAACCAUAAACGAUGCCGACCAGCGAUUAGGAGACGUUGAAUACAAAACACCGCUGUUAAUCCUUUCGGGGGUUAAUAGUUGGUGAAUGACUCCCUAGCAGCUUGUGA